RNAcentral lists this ribosomal RNA (413 nucleotides) under uncultured bacterium. RNAcentral's name for it is "bacterial SSU rRNA". It matches the Rfam family "Bacterial small subunit ribosomal RNA", at positions 20 to 458 of the family's 1533-position model. The record is from RNAcentral.
UGGCUCAGAACGAACGCUGGCGGCAUGCCUAACACAUGCAAGUCGAACGAGAUCUUCGGAUCUAGUGGCGGACGGGUGAGUAACGCGUGGGUAUCUGCCCUGGAGCGUGGAAUAACCGCUGGAAACGGCGGCUAAUACCGCAUACGCCCCGAGGGGGAAAGGCUUCGGCCACUCUGGGAGGAACCCGCGUCCGAUUAGCUAGUUGGGGGGGUAACGGCCCACCAAGGCGACGAUCGGUAGCUGGUCUGAGAGGAUGAUCAGCCACACUGGGACUGAGACACGGCCCAGACUCCUACGGGAGGCAGCAGUGGGGAAUAUUGGACAAUGGGGGAAACCCUUGAUCCAGCAAUGCCGCGUGCGUGAAGAAGGCCUUAGGGUUGUAAAGCGCUUUCGCCCGCGAAGAUGAUGACGGA